UGUGUGUGUACCACUGCUCACACACACAUAGCCUCAGGAAAGCCAGGAACAUUUCAUGACUGGCUGGAUAUGAAGCAAUUUUUCUCUCUACACUGAUAUAGAAAAAGAAAUAAUUUUUCUGGUCAUUAGAAAGCUGCACAUAAUUUUCUUGAAACAUUUUGCCACAUCUGGAGCCCUAUUUUCCUCUCCAUAUGCUGCUUAACUCUUAUUAAUAUCAAUGGGGGUUAUGCACACAUGUGGAGAAUAAAUUAGAUUCUUCAUUGUUUCCCUCUGAUAAAAUUAAAUGUUCUUUCCACAUGUUAAAAUUAACUCACAUACUCUUGUUCUCAGGGUAUUGGAAAUAGAGAGCAUUAGUUGCUAGUUAAAUCUUACAAUAUUUUGUCUCUUUAAAAAAGACUUUAUACUACUUCUUUUAGAAUUAGAAAGUAGUUGUCAAAAGCUUCAGUUAGGACUUGAGUUUUGUGACUAUUGAUUUCAUCCUUGGGCUGUAUGGAAACCUUUCUGUGUCAGUACGGUGCAUUAUUCAGACUAGAUUUGUGAUAGCAGUUUCUUCAUACCGAUAAAUGGCAAACCUCUUUUCCAUUCAAAUUUUUAUCAAUCAAUUCUUAUUUCCUUUUUUCCUAUUUACAGACAUUGGAAGACAAAUGUUUCUGUCACAGCCAGUAGUGGGACUGUCUCAACUCGUUUUCCUGUGAUGCCUGAAGACUCAUCUUGGAGGAGGCUGAGCAUUGAAGGAAGUGGGGCAGAAGUGCUGGGCAGCACAGGGACAGAGCUCAGGGCCAUCACCACCACGUGUUCAGGUGGGUUUACACCGUGGCUGUUCUCCUGCAUUAACAAGUGUUUUAUCGCUUCAUUAACAGAUGUCUUGACUUUUAUGAAGCUUUCCUUAAUUGUCCCAAAGAUGCUUUUAGCUG
This 914-nucleotide long non-coding RNA is filed under the name Junco hyemalis (dark-eyed junco). RNAcentral describes it as "lncRNA (ENSJHYG00000006344.1)". The record is from RNAcentral. Lineage: Eukaryota; Metazoa; Chordata; Aves; Passeriformes; Passerellidae.